UACGUAGGGCGCGAGCGUUGUCCGGAAUUAUUGGGCGUAAAGAGCUCGUAGGCGGUUUGUCGCGUCUGCCGUGAAAACUGGAGGCUCAACCUCCAGCCUGCGGUGGGUACGGGCAAACUAGAGUGCGGUAGGGGAGAUUGGAAUUCCUGGUGUAGCGGUGGAAUGCGCAGAUAUCAGGAGGAACACCGAUGGCGAAGGCAGAUCUCUGGGCCGUAACUGACGCUGAGGAGCGAAAGCAUGGGGAGCGAACAGG
This 253-nucleotide ribosomal RNA is filed under the name uncultured bacterium. RNAcentral's name for it is "partial 16S ribosomal RNA". It matches the Rfam family "Bacterial small subunit ribosomal RNA", at positions 524 to 776 of the family's 1533-position model. The record is from RNAcentral.